This 342-nucleotide unclassified non-coding RNA is filed under the name soil metagenome. RNAcentral's name for it is "partial contains 5.8S ribosomal RNA, internal transcribed spacer 2, and large subunit ribosomal RNA". The stretch from base 1 to 120 matches the Rfam family "5.8S ribosomal RNA", at positions 35 to 154 of the family's 154-position model. The record is from RNAcentral.
GAUGAAGAACGCAGCGAAAUGCGAUAAGUAAUGUGAAUUGCAGAAUUCAGUGAAUCAUCGAAUCUUUGAACGCACAUUGCGCCCGCCAGCAUUCUGGCGGGCAUGCCUGUUCGAGCGUCAUUUCAACCCUCGAGCCCCCCCGGGGGCCUCGGUGUUGGGGGACGGCACACCAGCCGCCCCCGAAAUGCAGUGGCGACCCCGCCGCAGCCUCCCCUGCGUAGUAGCUCACACCUCGCACCGGAGCGCGGAGGCGGUCACGCCGUAAAACGCCCAACUUUCUUAGAGUUGACCUCGGAUCAGGUAGGAAUACCCGCUGAACUUAAGCAUAUCAAUAAGCGGAGG